Molecule: ribosomal RNA, 253 nt
Filed under: uncultured bacterium
Lineage: Bacteria
Description: partial 16S ribosomal RNA
Rfam family: Bacterial small subunit ribosomal RNA
Source: RNAcentral
UACGGGGGGGGCAAGCGUUGUUCGGAAUUACUGGGCGUAAAGGGCUCGUAGGCGGCCAACUAAGUCAUACGUGAAAUCCCUCGGCUUAACCGGGGAACUGCGUCUGAUACUGGAUGGCUUGAGAUUGGGAGAGGGAUGCGGAAUUCCAGGUGUAGCGGUGAAAUGCGUAGAUAUCUGGAGGAACACCGGUGGCGAAGGCGGCAUCCUGGACCAACACUGACGCUGAGGCGCGAAAGCUAGGGGAGCAAACGGG